Molecule: ribosomal RNA, 2880 nt
Filed under: Triticum aestivum (bread wheat)
Lineage: Eukaryota; Viridiplantae; Streptophyta; Magnoliopsida; Poales; Poaceae
Description: partial small subunit ribosomal RNA
Source: RNAcentral
AUGGAGGUCACAACAGGUGCCAUGGGCAGCCUGCUCCCCAAGCUGGGCCAGCUGCUCAUGGAUGAGCACAACCUGCACAAGCGCGUCAAGAAAGACGUCUGCUUUCUCUCCAUGGAGCUUGAGAGCAUGCAUGCUGCCCUCAUCAAGGUUGGUGCCGUGCCGCGGGACCAGCUCGACACGCAAGUCAAGCUCUGGGCCGAUGAAGUCAGAGAGCUCUCCUACAACAUGGAGGAUGUCGUCGACAAAUUCCUCGUACGCGUCGAAGGUAUUCAGCAGCCUCAGGACAACACCGGCAGAUUCAAGGAGCUCAAGAACAAGAUGGUCAGCUUGUUCAAGAAAGGCAAGAAUCACCAUCGGAUAGCUGACGCCGUCAAGGAAAUCAAGGAGCAACUCCAGGAGGUGGCUGCUAGGCGUGGCAGGAACAAGCUCGAUGGUAUUGCUUUUAAUCCCACAGAAGCAAUUGCUAUAGAUCCUCGUCUUCGGGCUUUGUACACAGAAGCGACAGAGCUGGUGGGCAUUUAUGGGAAGAGGGAUCAAGACCUCUUGAGUUUGCUCUCCAUUGAGGGUGACGAUGCAUCUAACAAGAAACUGAAGAAGAUCUCCAUUGUUGGAUUUGGAGGGUUGGGAAAGACCACUCUUGCUAGAGCAGUAUACGAGAAGAUUAAAGGUGAUUUUGAUUGUCGGGCAUUUGUCCCCGUCGGUCAGAACCCUGAUGUCAGGAAGGUUUUUAGGGAUAUCCUUAUUGAUCUCGGAAUAUCCCACUCAGAUGUUGUCAUGUUGGAUGAAAGGCAGCUUAUCAACAAGCUUCAUGAAUUCCUCGAGAACAAGAGGUAUCUGGUCAUAAUUGAUGAUAUAUGGGAUGAAAAUUUGUGGGAAGGCAUCAACUUGGCUUUCUCUAACAGGAAUAAUCUAGGCAGUCGGCUAAUCACCACAACCCGCAUUGUCAGUGUCUCCAAUUCAUGUUGCUCGUCGGCUAAUGAUUCGAUUUAUGAAAUGAAACCUCUUUCUACUGAUGAUUCCAGAAAGCUCUUCCAUAAGAGAAUAUUUCCCGACAAGAGUGGAUGUCAAAAUGAAUUUGAACAAGUGUCUAAAGAUAUAUUGAAAAAAUGUGGUGGGGUACCACUAGCCAUCAUUACUAUUGCUAGUGCUUUGGCUAGUGGCCAGCACGUGAAGCCAAAGCGUGAGUGGGAUAUUCUGCUCCAGUCCAUUGGCUCUGGAUUAACAGAAGAUAACAGUUUAGAGGAGAUGCGGAGAAUACUCUCGUUCAGUUAUUAUAAUCUACCCCCCCAUCUGAAAACUUGUCUAUUGUACCUAUGUAUAUAUCCAGAAGAUAGAAAGAUUUAUAGAGAUAGACUGAUAUGGAAGUGGGUGGCCGAAGGAUUUGUCCACCAUGGAGAUCAAGGGACCAGCCUGUUUUUGGUCGGAUUAAACUACUUCAACCAGCUCAUUAAUAGAAGUAUGAUUCAGCCAAUAUAUGAUCAUCUAGGCCAGGUAUCUGCUUGCCGUGUACAUGAUAUGGUUUUGGACCUUAUCUGCAACUUGUCACGUGAAGCAAAGUUUGUUAAUGUAUUGGAUGGCACUGGGAAUAGCAUAUCUUCAGAAAGUAAUGUCCGCUGUUUGUCCCUUCAGAAUAAAAUGGAAGAUCAUCAAGCCAAGCCUCUCACAAAUAUCAUGAGUAUGUCACGAGUGAGGUCAAUUACUAUCUUUCCUCCUGCUGUUAGUAUCAUGCCAAGCCUGCCAAUGUUUGAAGUUCUGCGUGUACUUGAUUUGUCGGACUGUAAUCUGGGAAAAAGUAGCAGCCUGCAACUUAACCUCAAGGGUGUUGGACACUUAAUUCACCUGAGGUACCUAGGUCUAUCAGGUACCAACAUCAGUAAGCUCCCGGCUGAGAUAGGGAACCUGCAGUUUUUGGAGGUGUUGGAUCUUGGAAGCAAUUAUGGGCUAGAUGAAUUGCCUUCCACUCUUUUCAAAUUGAGAAGAUUAAUCUACCUAAAUGUUGUUCUCAAUAAGGUGGUUCCAACUCCUGGUGUGUUGCAGAAUCUGACAUCCAUUGAAGUGUUGAGGGGGAUCUUGGUCUCUCUGAACAUUAUUGCACAAGAGCAUGGCAACCUGGCAAGGCUGAGGGAGCUUCAGAUUAGCUUCAAGGAUGGUAAUUUGGAUUUGUAUGAAGGUUUUGUGUAUUCUCUGUGCAGCCUACAUCGCAUCGAAAGUCUAUGUAUUAAUUGCAAUUCGGAAGAAACAUCUUUUGAACUGAUGGAUCUCUUGGGAGAAUGCUGGGUGCCUCCUGUACAUCUCCGCGAAUUUGUGUCAAGAAUGCCCAGCCAACUCUCUGCACUGCGAGGGUGGAUAAAGAGAGACCCCUCGCAUCUCUCGAACCUCUCCGAGUUAAUCCUCAGGUCAGUGAAGGAAGUGCAGCAGGAAGACAUGGAAAUCAUUGGGGGGUUGUUGUCCCUUCGUCGUCUCUGGAUAACGAGCACCCACCAAACACAACGGCUACUAGUCAUCCGUGCAGAUGGGUUCCGCUGUAUGGUAGUCUUUGAGUUGAAUUGUGGAUCAGCAGCACAGAUAAAGUUUGAACCAGGAGCUUUGCCAUGGGCGGAAGCAGUUGAGUUCAGCCUGGGUGUGCGGGUGGCGAAAGAGGAUGGUAACUGUGGUUUCGACUUGGGCCUGCAGGGGAACCUGCUCUCCCUUCGGCGGUAUGUCCGUGUUCUUAUGUAUUGUGGUGGAGCGAGCGUUGGAGAGGCAAAGGAAGCGGAGGCUGCGGUGAGGCACGUCCUCGAAGCCCAUCCCAACCAUCCCCAGAUUAAUAUUUAUAUGAAGCCGCGUAUAGCAGAAGGUGAUCAUGAUGACGAUUUGUGUAAGGACGUGGUGAUGAACUGA